Numida meleagris (helmeted guineafowl) is the source of this 1689-nucleotide long non-coding RNA. Lineage: Eukaryota; Metazoa; Chordata; Aves; Galliformes; Numididae. The record is from Ensembl.
CACACUGCCCCUGGUGCUGGGGAAGGAAGGGAAUAUUGGCCGGCAGCAAACUUGCUGUGUAAAGGGGAAGUGGCCAUUCCUCUGGGGUCAGAGUCCAGAGGAUCUGGACUUUGUUCAUUCUCUCCUGCCUGCAAACAGGGAAACAUAAACACCUACAAGAUAAAAGCAAAAACUAAUCCUAGAAAAACAAGUCUGGCUAUUUACCCCCCCCAGAUCUAACUCUGGAUUAGACUCAUGCAACUCACACUGGAGCCUACCAGCAGCUACUGCUGUUCAUGCUACUGUGGGAGAACAUUUUGAGAAAUGCUUUCACAGAGAGCCUAAAAAUGAAGCAGGAAAUCAGAUACAGAGAAGAACACAGGAUAACAAGACAGUGCCACUUUACUGUAAGAGCAUGAAUCUUUAUACAAGGGGGCAGACUGGAGAAUGUCAGGCCUCAUCUGUUGAGCUUCAGUCCCAUUUAAUCAAAGGGGUUUCCAUGUGUGAGCAUUUAAAAGAAAAACUUAUUCUUGCUGGAGUGGGGAAGAAAGAACUGACAAGCUGGGAACACCAAAAGAAAAAAGGAAGAACCUUAAAAUAUCAGGAUUGGCUGUCUUGAGCUCUGAAGGUGAGACUUGUGCAAUGAACUCCCUUCACCAGCUCUUUGGAGUAGAGUUCACACAGUUAUCUGACACCAUGCUGCAUCCUCUCUUCUGCUCUGUGACUUAUCUGUCAGAUCCUGGUUUGCCUGAGGACAAGUAGGACAGAGGCUGCAGCACAGGGCUGCAACCUGGAAGCACCUCCCUCUGCGUGGGUCCCCACCAUCCUUCUCUGCUAGGCUACUGAGGUAUAUGCCAAAUGUGCCAUCUACUUUGGGUCUAUCACACUCUUAGACUGGACAAAUUUCAGAAGUCAGAGGGCAGAAUGAACAUUAUGGACAGUUGGUAGAUUCUUCCACACAAAUCAUCUGACGGAGAGGAGAAUGGUGUCUUCUGCUUUCAGUGAAAGUAGCUGGAAUCAAGCCCAGAAAUUUUUUGCAGCUACCAUAACUAAGCCACCCUGCACACAAACCUUUAGGCAUAAAAAUGAUAUGGUAUUAAAAUGAAAGAGGUACAGCAGUUUCAGUUAAAAUUGCACUGGGUAUCAUAAUUUCACAUUACUUAGCUAUGUGUGUGCUUCAGCUCUCAGCCAUGAUGUACUAAUUGAAACUUUCCACAGACGAUGUUGUUAAAAAGGAUUCAGCAAAAUGGCAAUACGUACUAUUCUUCUCUCCAAAAGUGAGAACUGUAGUCCAGCCUUGAAAAAGUCUCUGCUUCCCACUGACUUUGUUGAGAACUUUCUUUUGGAUCGAUGGACAGUAUGCAGCUCUCAGUGCUUUCACCUGGUCACUGACAGGUGAAGUGCUAUCACUAUUUCGUUAAUCCUUGUGUUUCCUGCUGCAUUGCCAUCUCCAAAUAGACGUAUUUUAGCGGUGAGCAGACAGAUUCUAAUAACGUCCUGGUGGAUAACAGGCUGCCUCAGCAGUGUGCCCCUGUGGCCAGGAAGGCCAAUGGUAUCCUGGGGUGUAUUACAAAGAGAGUGGCCAGCAGGUGGAGGGAGGUUCUUCUCCCCUUCUCGUCUGCCCUGGUAAGGCUACAUCUGGAGUACUGUGUCCAGUUCUGUGCUCCUCAGUUCAAGAAAUAAAGGGAACUUCUACAGAUGCCUGGGGCA